CUGCUGCCUUCCGUAGGAGUCUGGUCCGUGUCUCAGUACCAGUGUGGGGGACCUUCCUCUCAGAACCCCUACGCAUCGUCGCCUCGGUGGGCCGUUACCCCGCCGACUAGCUAAUGCGCCGCAUGGCCAUCCGCAGCCGAUGAAUCUUUAACCGCCGAGGGAUGCCCCUCUGCGGUGUUACGCGGUAUUAGACGGAAUUUCUUCCGCUUAUCCCCCUCGCUGCGGGCAGGUUCCAUACGUGUUACUCACCCGUGCGCCGGUCG
Molecule: ribosomal RNA, 263 nt
Filed under: uncultured bacterium
Lineage: Bacteria
Description: partial 16S ribosomal RNA
Source: RNAcentral